UGGUAUCAUGUUGCAAAUGGC
This 21-nucleotide microRNA is filed under the name Physcomitrium patens. RNAcentral's name for it is "ppt-miR1217-5p". The record is from miRBase by way of RNAcentral. Lineage: Eukaryota; Viridiplantae; Streptophyta; Bryopsida; Funariales; Funariaceae.